UCAUAACAUAAUGUAUUCGUAGGUACCGAUUACAUGUUAGUAGAUUGUUCCACUAACUACUUAGUACUUCCACUAGAAUCAUGGAGCCCUUUAUUAGGAGGCGCCUAGUGAAAACCCUAUGAAUGAAAAGAAACACAAAUGACGUGGAAUAGUAAAAUAUGUGAUGGGCUUUGAUUCUAUCUUGUUUGAAAAGGAAAUUUAGGGGUAUCCGGCACUGCCGGAUCCGGAUCCGCUGCCUCCACCGUGGCCGAACCCACCAUUGUUGCUGCUGCCACCGCCGCCACCCGUUCCAGCACCGGUUCCUGUGGCAUAGCCUUGACCAUAGGAACCAGUGCUACCAGUCUGUCCGCCUCCAGUGCCAGAGCCAGAACCAACUCCCAUGCUUGGACCUUGAGCUACGCCUCCACCUUGGCCACCUCCGCUGCCGUUGCCACUUCCACUAGCAUUGCCUCCAGUAGUGUCAUUGCUGGCGGCCUGCCCACCUCCAGCACCAUUACCACCUCCAUUUCCACCGUCACCGCCACCACCGCCAGUGCCAGCACCGCCAGCAUCAGAGUAGCUGACACCACCCGCAGAAGGAGCUACAGCCGGGGCGGUUGCUAUGCCACUCUCAGCUUCUCCUUUGCCAGCACCACUUCCGGCUCCAGAUCCGCUUGACCCAUCUGCACCACCACCUGCACCACCGCCCCCACCCUGACCAUCAGCGUUGGCGUACCCACUGCCACUAGGGGCUGACGCCGAGCCACUCGAACCAACACCGUUGCCACCGCCAGAGCCGGAACCGGAUCCGGAUCCGCCUUGGGAACCACCGCCAGCGCCGUUUCCCCCUCCUCCACCGGCUCCCUUGGCAAAGUUAUACUUGUUCCUGGCAUCUCCACCAUUCUCGCCAUAUCCCAAGCCACCACCUCCUACGGCCCCAUGGCCCCAUCCACUCCCACCCCCACCCGACGAGCUGCCACCGCCUCCUCCUCCCCCGCCUCCGCCUCCAGCACUGGAGGAGCUAGCUAGCAUCCUCGAAGCAUUGGUGAACCCAAUGCUCACGAGGACAACAAAACCAAGAGCUCCAAGCUUAGUGCUAGCAGCCAUUAUGAGUGAGCUCGGUGUAGUUUGAGAUGAGAUGGGUGUUGAAAGAAGAGAGGGCUGCAUGGGUUUAUAUAGUAGUGCAACCGGUGCAUGGAUGAUGGAAUGAUGAGUGUGGAGUGUUGGAUCUUACACGCACGCAGAAGGCGCGCGAUCUUCGGGUUGCGAACUGAAUGAGUAAUCCCAUGACAAGUUCACUAAGGCUGGUCAUAGUGGGGAGUAACUUAGACUAGUAACAUGCAUAUGUUACUAGUAUAUGUUACUAUCUUUAUAGUGCAUAGUAUCAUAGAUUAGUAUCAUAAGUGGUCUUAUUUAUUGCCAUGCAUGGCACAUAGUAGCAUCACAUUUAUUAUGUUACGGUAUCUACCUAUGUUACUAUAACCAUCUCUCUCUUCUUUAAUUGUCUGCCACAUAAGCAUGUUUGCGAGUCCCAAGUGCAUGAUACUACUUAUGUUACCCCCACUAUGGCCAGCCUAAUCACGGUAGCAUGCAUCGUUGACUGCACUGCCACUGCUUUCAUCGAUCAUGCAAAUCUGUUCAUAUCUUUCUUUAAUCGCUAAUUAAUUGAUGAGAACUGGUCAGCUGUAGUAGGGUCAGAAGAUACGUAUACUGACGCUUGAUUGAGAUUUCAUCUCAUGACAGACAGAUUAACUACAGUAAUUGUGAACCAAACUGUGAAUGAAUGGUUAGACAGUGAUACCCCAAUCCACCAGGGUUCAAGUCCUGCUGCUUGCAUUAUUUCGGAUUUGCUUCAGGAAUUCCGGUGAUGCGUGCUCAGUGAAAGGAGACGUUUCCGUCGACUAAGAGGCGCCUCUGCUGAUUUCGUCAAUCUCAAAAUGAUAUGACGACUCAGUUUCUCGAAGGUACUCACAUGAGUGUGAGUGUAUGAAUGUAUGUAUGAGUGCUGCGUGACCUGCCUUUACUCGAUACGCAUGCAUGAACUGGAAGCCGUGGAUCACACCACGUGUUAUAAAAAAAAACUACUGUAAUUAUUUUCUUUCCACCACAUGAAAGAACGUGACCUGCCUUUACUCGAUACGCACGCAUGAACUGGAAGCCGUGGAUCACAGGAAAUCCUUUGACAUUGCACUUCAUGAAUGCCACUUGACAUUAUCAACCAUGAACACCGCGGAUAUAUAUAGAGAAAAACAAGAUACGUACAGUAAGUACACUUACCUUGCGUAAGGCAUGUGUUUACUGUUAAUUACCAACAGAAAAUGAUGUAUGUUUUUGCUUAACUAGUGACUUCCUUAACCGUAAGAUGCACGCAUUACAUUAACACUAGUACUCCUAGACCCACAUGAGCUUGGUAUGCGGAAGAUGGAACCGAGCUCUGACUGGCCGUCUGACGUCGUUCUUCAUCGUCGGUCGUCGGUGAUGCAGUUUGAGAAAGGCUCCAGCUAGCCCCUAGCUAUAGCCAAUGGUAGACGGCGAAGGAGAGUGUUGACCUACAUUAAUUGCAUACCACUCCUAGGAUUUGUAAUGUCGAUGUACCAAACCGACGUGUGUGUUAUUUUCUACUUCCUCCUUCCCAUAUUGACACUAUACUAGUGUCAAAAAAGUUUUAUAUUAUGGAACGGAGGGAGUAGUUUGUAAUGAUGGCCUUGUAAGGGUUGGAUGACUAACCUUCCUACAGCCGAUACACAUGUCCAAGACUCCCGUGUCGUCCGACCUAGGGCGACUCGGGAGGAUUCAGCCACCGCCGUCACUCAGUUCGAUUCCCUCUCCCUGUCCCUGCUUGCCGCUGCCACGGGCGGCCUCGGCCGCGGCGGUGGCGGAUCUCACGGCCGCAUGUGACCUUUGGUUUGCAGCUAGUUGGAGGAGUUCUAGGACGACACCCGGAUCACAGAUGGGCCAAUGGUGCGGGUUGAGGCUUCUGAUUCGGUCGGUGAUGGGCCUCAGCAGCCCGGAGCUGCUCGUGCGCCAAAACCCUGGGCUUCCAACUCCCUGCAGGUUGCCGCCAUGCCGGCCCUAGUGUCUUCUGAAGCCAACUGCUUUGCUCCACACGCCCGUCCACAAUCCCUAAGGACACCGCGACCCCGUCGCAUCAAGAACAUCUCCCCACGUCUGGAUUCACGCGCGUUGCCUUCUGUUUUGUGUCGUGUAAAACAGUUUGUGGGAAGAACCAAAGUGGUAGCACCUAAACCUGCUGCGAGGUGUGUGGGGCGCUCGCCACCAUGGCUACUGGCGCGUCCCUGAUUGCCAUCGUGGUUCCGCGUGUGGGCCAGUCUCCGACCAGAUAUGGCCGAUUUCGCCACCGGGGGCCAUCAUGCGGUGGGCUCUGUGCUGGAUGUGGACGGCGGCAAUGAGGUGCCAUUCCGCACAUGCGCUGGCCAGCCGGCAGUGCUACGGUCCACCGGUUUGGUCGUUCUGAUCUAGAUCUGAUCGGCCGGGUGGUGAUGACUGCAGACUGUGCUGCAACGACUCCCCACGGCUCCAUGACAGCAGCGGUCAUUAGAAGGUUUUUGGAGGGUUCAUCUCUCUUGAUCUUUUGGUUGACUUCGACGGUGAGAUACAAAUUAUGGACAACGGCUUGACAAAGACUAAUGACUAUGUUGUGGCGGCGAGAGCAUCGCUUGUAGUUGUUGGGACCAUGAAAAAGUGAUGUCGACAACACAUGAGUGGCUUCGAUGGUGGUGCUGCUCAAGCACUCGGUCUCGAGCUCCGGGGUGAAAGCCUAGGUCAGACCUGAGUUGGUUAUAUCUCGGCGGUGGCGAUGUUUUUUUUACAUUGUUACCUUGUUGAAGGCAUUGCUCGAUUAUGCUCGGAUUGAUUCUUUAGGGUGAAAACUUAGAUACCGGCCUCGGUGGUUGGAUCGGGGUAGCUCCCUUAUUGAAGGCAUUGAUGUUGAAGAACCUCGUCAUCCAUGUGGUGACAUGACAUGGUUGGUAUAGAUAUGGUCAUUAUUGUAAUUUGUCGAUUGGAUCGCCUUGGUUUUGUUUGUUUUUCCCCGCCUACGCAUAGCUUUGGUCUUAUAUGACUUUGCUAAUUGGUGGCGUAUUUUCUAGCGUGUGUGAGUUGGUGUUAGCUGUGUGCAUUCUAACUAUGCAGAGACCGGAUGUGUGCUUAUUUUGUUACGCAUUCUCUUGAUGCUUCAUUUUGAACGCAUAAAAUCCACCCUUUGUCCAAAAAAUAUAUACACAUACCCGCAAGUAUAUGAAACUGGAAAUGUGGGCGGUAAAGACGACUUUGAACCCUACAACAUAUUCAUGCUACAUGCAUGUCCCUCAUGUACUUACUUGAAUACACACUGUGAACCAAAAUUAGACAGAAUUACUGUAUGGAAGCUAGAUUUGCAUACUAUUUUCAGAACAAUCAGGCUUUUCAAACAGGAAAGAAAAAAAUCCAAUUAUUAUAUGGGUCUAAGAAACUGGAGAGGUGGGAGUACGAUGCACUAUAAGCAUCCACAUAUUUGGACGGCCUGCCAUAAAAUAAAAAGGGGACUUUUGUAGAACCACGGCCUUUUUGAUUUAUUUUUUUCCAUAAAUAUUUCUGGCAAAAGCUCAUGCUAUGACAAUUUUGUUACACAACAUGCUAUGACACAUCAUAGUGUAGUAAUGACUUCAUUUGGUCAACUUCGACCCAGCCGUUUUUGUAAACCUGACCUUGUUCAAUACUCGCUCCGUUUCAUAAUUCAAACUAAAACCACGACAAAAAAUAUGGAAUAGAGGGAAUAGAUGUGACGUAGGACGUACAUCUUCCACGGUGGUGCAUUAUAGUGUAGCCACAUACAAUAUUGCAAUGUCAACUACUCCCUCUGUCUACUCAAAAAAAAACUAGUCCCUUCAACCCAAUAAGCUGCUUUUGCAAACUAACAUAUUGUGGGAUGGAGUGAGUAGAUUUUUUGCUGCCUUGACAUAGCAUUGAAUAAAAUUGAGAGAGAAACAUAAGAGUACGACCUCAUGAGUCGUCCAUAAACAACCUGGAUCAAGGCCGUAUAUCAAAAUAACCAGAUACAGAUCUUUGCAAGGUCGUGGAGCCUACGGGUUACUAAUGCUUUGUGCCUUGGGUCUGUAUUUGCGCAAUUUGUCCUUUUCUUCUUCUACUUACGUUUCUCAUAAAAACCACAACGUAAUCCAUGCUAGCCAAAUCAGCCACCAUCCCCAACAGAGAAGGAAGUUAGAGGCAACCAGAACAAUUGACCAUUAGCUUUCUUUUUAGAUCAACCUUAGCUAGGCAUAUUGGCUCGGAUGGAGUAACCAAGCAGUCACACUAACAACGAAACAUAUCAGAAAUCAUAACAUAACAUAACAUAUUCGUAGGUAGCGAUUACAUGUUAGUAGAUUGCUCCACUAACUACUUAGUACUUCCCUAGAAUCAUGGAGCCCUUUAUUAGGAGACGCCUAGUGAAAACCCUAUGAAUGAAAAGAAACACAAAUGACUUGGAAUAGUAAAUUGAAGAGACUAGAAAUGUGUGAUAGGCUCCGAUUCUAACUUGUUCGAAAAAGAAAUUUAG
This 5536-nucleotide long non-coding RNA is filed under the name Triticum aestivum (bread wheat). Its description in RNAcentral is "long non-coding RNA (TAES_LNC023770)". Lineage: Eukaryota; Viridiplantae; Streptophyta; Magnoliopsida; Poales; Poaceae. The record is from RNAcentral.